UAACUCCUUGAUCACAGUAAGAGGGUUUUCACUGAUUGUGCUAGAGAUACUUGACACAGCCAGCCAAAUCUUUCGCACAGAGUUCAGUGAAGUUAAUUAUUGACUGAUAAGUCUCCCGUUCGUGCACCAUUGCAGCAGUCUGACCUACUAUUGUAUCACGGAAAAUCUGAACUGAUUAACUUGUGAAUGGGGGGCGGUAACAAGUAUUAAACAUUAAAAACACCAGUUUUAUGACUGGCUACUAGUCAUCCUCUCAAUGAUCUAACGAAUUGAGCUUUAAUGCUGACUGCAUUCGACAAGAUCGGAGUCUAGUGCCAAGGUAAAGCCUGCAGCGUUGGUCUGAGAUAGGGCAAUGGAAUCACCCCGGGCGUCAGUGAGUGAUAUUCCACUGACAGACGUGCCUUCCUCUGACUCUCAGCAUGUCGCCAGCGUAUUUGGCGCGAGCACAAACCAGGCUUUCUGGGAAGGAGACCCCGAGGACCACCUCCUGUGCUCCGUAAUCACAAGCAUUUUUUGCUUUGCUCCAGUAGGAUUUGCUGCAAUAUACUAUUCAUGGAAGGUGCGAGAUGCUGUUUGCAAUGGAGAUCCACAUACCGCCAGUAAAAGUUCAAGAACUGCACGACUCCUGAACAAUAUUAGCUUGGUAGUCGGCAUAUUUCAGUGGGUGAUAGUGCUGCUUAUGCUAGUGUUUUACCUUAGUGGUUAUUUAGACUAUAUCAUAAGUGGGUUAGCAAAUGGAACAUAACCAUUGUUACAUAGACCUCUUGGCUUGCUGAAUGAAAGCUAAUACACAACCCAAAGAUAUCGAAGUGAAAACAGAUAUUCAAGUGCGCCAUUGACACAAGAGUCAUAGAUUGUAUUAUGGAGAGUAGCCAUAGCACUAUAUUAAAGAAGAUUCGAUGUGUGGUUGAAUUUAUUCAAUCCAUUGUUAUAAACGAAACCGUACCAAGAACCAAGUUUUUCCAGGUUUUCAAAUCCAGUGCUUCUGACGAAUGUACCUCGACAGACAUGCAUGAAGAACAGUACCUAAUGAGCAGAUUAAUUUGAAAGAUUCGACGAAUAUUAAUUCCUUGUUUUAUGUUAUUUUUCGGUUGUUUCGUAUCCAUUCGUCCCUUUUUGUGAUAUUCUUUCUUUUUAUUGCUUCAUUUUAUCAAAGCAUUUCUAUGUAAAAGUAUGUAAUUCAUAUUUUACUUUAGUGAUAACAGAAUCCUGCCAGCGGAAAAAACUAAAAGGUAAUUUGUAAGGGUUUGUCUUAAUAAACGGCUAAUCCUUGACGGCUGCUUAUAUUAACGCCUGUCUGAAAUCUUGUCUGGGAAAUAGAUGAAACAUAUGAACUUCAUUAUUCACGAAGUAGGUAAAUAUGUAGAAAUUUAAUUUGAAAUGGUGAUUUAUUUCCGAAUAAUAACGUAAGAUCUUAAGAUGCAUAAUCUAUAACCGAUAGUUGAACUUAACGAUGAAAAUGUGUUUAUAAAGUAGGGUGACAAUGUUAAACAUUUUGCGGCAAAGCACAGUGUCCAAGAUUCAGUUCAAGUUCUUUUCUUUUUUCUUAACUUUCCUUUUUUCGCUCAUUACCUUUUGUUGGUUUAUUUUUUCAAGUAAUUUGUAUUCUCUUUAUAACAAUUAUUGAGUUGCUUAUUCACAAUGAGAAAUGUGAUACUAAUGUUGAGAAAUAUCUUUCCCAAGGUGAUAAAUUUUUUUAUACAUAAAAGUGCCCAAAGCGCACUUGAAUAUCCUCUA
Molecule: long non-coding RNA, 1737 nt
Organism: Lingula anatina
Lineage: Eukaryota; Metazoa; Brachiopoda; Lingulata; Lingulida; Lingulidae
Source: RefSeq, a predicted model, not a curated record